CAAUAGCGUAUAUUAAAGUUGUUGCAGUUAAAAAGCUCGUAGUUGGAUUUCUGGUUGAAGCGACCGGUCGAGCGUUGAUUCGUCUGCACUGGAGUCGGUUUUGGCCAUCCUCUAGGAAAGUGCGUCUGGUAUUAAGUUAUCGGGCGUAUGAUCCUGGUCUUUUACUGUGAAAAAAUUAGAGUGUUUAAAGCAGGCCUUCGCCUUGAAUACAUUAGCAUGGAAUAAUAAGAUAGGACUUUGGUCUAUUUUGUUGGUUUGCAGACCGAAGUAAUGAUUAAUAGGGAUAGUUGGGGGUAUUUAUAUUCCGAUGUCAGAGGUGAAAUUCUUAGAUUUUCGGAAGAUAAACUUAUGCGAAAGCAUUUACCAAGGAUGUUUUCAUUAA
RNAcentral lists this ribosomal RNA (382 nucleotides) under uncultured eukaryote. RNAcentral describes it as "partial 18S ribosomal RNA". It matches the Rfam family "Eukaryotic small subunit ribosomal RNA", at positions 592 to 976 of the family's 1831-position model. The record is from RNAcentral.